RNAcentral lists this long non-coding RNA (6194 nucleotides) under Homo sapiens (human). RNAcentral's name for it is "HSALNT0107497". The record is from RNAcentral. Lineage: Eukaryota; Metazoa; Chordata; Mammalia; Primates; Hominidae.
ACUAACUGCAACCUCAAAUUCCUCUUUUGAGACACUUCUGAGACUCUGCCAAAGCAGUGCUCUCCUAUGUUCAACACAUUUAAUAAAUUCGGCUUCAUAUGGUCAACAGCUUUCACUAAUGGUCUUUGUAAGGAGACUUCAUGAUGCCCAGGAAAGUGCCUAGACUUUUAAAGUGAAAACAUGGAGUUUGGUGUGGCUGAAGCUGAGUGAAUAAGAAGGAGUAUAGUGGGAAAUAACGUGAGAAGAUUUGUAAAGAAAGAAAGAAAGAAAGAAAGAAAGAAAUUAUAUUCUCCCAGUUUCUGGUCUAACAUGUAAGGAGCUUGGAUGUCACCACUCCACCCUAAUAAAUGUGGAGAUGAACGAACUGAAAAAUCAACUCUUCUUGGAUCUGCAAGAGAAGUGAGGAUUCAGGGCAAACCAGUGCCCCCAGGAUUGGAAAGACAAAUAGGCAAAGACAGAGAGUCAUGGCUUACUGGAGUACCGAUUCAUGAACUGAAACAUGGGAACAAGUGCUGGGGUAGGAAAAACGGAACUGUAAUUGACUAAUUGCUGGAAACUUAGUGUGGACAAGUAUGAUAGACAAAAGCUUCCGGUAGACCUAGUCAUAGGGGAGCCCAUACAAUUUUGUGAGUUUUAUCUCCUGGAAAACUACUGAGUUCUCAUAGUCAGUACCUGAGAAAAAUCCCCUCAUGAUUCCUGCGGUUGGAAGAGUAAAGGAACCAUCUUGAAAUAUGUCAGAUAAUUAUUUCCUGAGCAAGGUUUGCCCUCAGAAGAAAGUAUUUAACUAGAGCUAACUUAUCUGGGAAAAGGGAAAUAUUUAAUUCCAGCUGGCUCUAGCCUUCCACUUGUAAGAAGAGAAAUACUAAACUCAAGCCCACUCUAGUCAUUAAGGGGUAAGGGGAGAAGAUUGAGAAGCACUUGUGAAGUUUAGUCCUGAGACACACGCUUACUAAAAGACUGAAACCUAAUCAUAGGACUGUAGAAUGCUUUCCCUCCCUACACUCUACCAGCACAUUACUAAAGUUCUGUUUACAGCAGUAUCUUUUACCCAACACAUCAUGUCUGGCUACAUAGAAAAAAUUACCAGGCAUACUAAAAGGCAAAAAAUACAGUUGGAGGAGACAGAGCAGUCUCCUCAGAAUGAGACAGAUACGGCAGAGAUACUGGAAUGAUCAGAUUGGGAUUUUCAAACAACUAUAAUUAAUAUGCUAAAGGCUCUUAUAGAUAUAGGAGACAGAACACAAGAACAAAUAGGCAAUGUAAGCAGAGAGAUGGAAAUUCUAAAAAAACCUUAAACGUUAGAGAUCAAAAACACUAUAACACAAAUGAAGAAUGCCUUUGAUGGAUUAAUUGGUAAAGUGGACAUAGAGGAAGAAUCUCUGAGAAUGAGGAUAUCUCAAUGGAAACCUCCAAAGCUGAAAAGGAAAGAGAAAAAAAGACUUAAAAAUGCCCAGAAUAUGCAAUAGCCAUGGGAAACUACAAAAGGUGUAAAAUACAGGUAAUGUGCAUAACAGAAUAAGAAAAAAGAGAGAAAGAAACAAAUGUUUGAAACAACAAUUUCUGAAAACUUCCCCAAAUUAAUGUCAGACACCAAAACACAGAUAUGGGAAGUUUAGAGGACACCAAACAGAGUAAGUGCCCCCAAGCCCACACACCCAGGUAUGUCAUAUUCAAACUACAGAAAAUCAAAGAUAAAGAAAAAAUCAUGAAAGAAGCUAGAGGGCGGGGAAACAUACGCUUAGAGGCCAAAGAUAAGAAUUACAUCUGACUUUCAGAAACCAGGCAAGGAAAAAAACUAAAAGCAAAAACAAAAUAUUUAAAAUAUAUUUAAAGUGUGAAGUUAAAUAUUUAAAGUGUUAAGAGUAAAAACCCACCAACCUAGAAUUCCAUUCCCUGAAAAACUAUUCUUUAAAAGUGAGGGAGAAAUAAAAAUCUUUUCAGAUAAACAAAAAUUGAGGGAAUUUGCUGCUAAUAGAUCUACCUUGUAAGAAAUGUUUUUAAAAAGUUAUUUAGAAAAUAGGAAAAAGAUACAGGUCAUAAACUCAUGUCUACAUUAGAGAUUAAAUAAUUGAAGGUAAAAUAAAACUUUUAUUUUUCUUAUUACUAAUUGUUCUAACAGAUUUUGUUCCAAAUAAUAAUGACAACAAUGUAUUUGAUUAUGUAUGUUUAUGUGUAUAUAUGACAUAUAUAAUGUAUGUAUAAUAGAUUAUAUAUAUGCUUAUAUACCGUGAAAUGAAUUACAUCAACGAUACAAGGGAUGGGAGAGAGGAAUUAGAAUUAUUUUGUUAUUAUAAAGUAUUUACGCUUCCCAUGAAAUGGUAUAAUAUAGAGUUAUUUGAAAGUGAAUUUGGAUUACUUGUAAAUGCUUAUUGGAAACUCUAUGGCAACUACUAAAAAAAAAUUAAGAGAAUAAUAUAUAGUUUCAACUUGUUAGAAGGAGGAUGUCGAAUGUUCCCAAUACAAAGAAAUGAUAAACAUUUGAGAUGCUAGAUAUGCUAAUUACCUUGAUCUGAUUACUAUAAAAUAUAUGUAUUAAAAUAACACUAAGUACCCCGUAAGUAUGAAUAAUCAUUAUUUGUUGAUUAAACGAUACAAUUUAAAAAGCAAAAAAGAAGUAUAACUGAUGUACUAAGAAAAGAGAUAGCGUGGAAUUAUAUAAGAUACUCAAAACCACUUUUGUGGUAUUUUGCCUUUUGGCAGAGAGAGUGAAAGACAAAUGUAAGAAAAAUGAAUAAGAGCAACACAGAAGAAACAGUAACAAUUAUGGUAGAUUUUAAUCCAAUCAUAUUAAUAUUACUUUGAAUUUCAGUGGUCUAAGUACACCUAUUAAAAGACAGAGAUUGUCAGAGUAUAUCAAUAAACAAGACCCAACUAUAAGUUGUCUAUAAGAAACCCACUUUAAAUAUAAAGACACAUAUAGAUUAAAAGAAAAUCGAUGAAGAAAGGUUUGCUGUGCCAACACUAAUGAAAAGAAAUUAAGAAUACCUAUUUUCAUUUCAGACAGAGCAGACUUCAGAGCAAAGGAAGUUAUCAUGAAUAAAGAGGGGCAUUACUUAAUGAUAAAGGGGUCAUUUCUCCAAGAAAAUACAACAAUUCUUAAUGAAUAUGUGCUUAAUAAGUAUGCAUCAUUGCAACAAAGUGUCAAAAUACAUGAGAAAAAAUGUUAUAAAAUCACAAAAAGAAAUAGAGGAUUCCACUAUUAUAGCUCUUCUAUUAGAAAUGGACAGAUUCAGCAGGCAUAAAAUCAGAAAGCACAUAGUUGAACUGAACAACACUAUCAAACAAAUGGAUAUAAUUGACAAUCUAUAGAUUAUUUAACUUAACAACUGCAGAAUACACAUUCUUCUUAAGCUUAUGUGGAACAUUCACCAAGAGAGAUCACAUUCUGAACCACAGAACACACUUUAACAAAUUGAAAGAAUAGAAAACAAAUGGCUGCUCUAAAACUACAAUUGAAUUUAACUAGCAGUCAAUAACAGAAAGAUAACUGGAAAAUCCCAGAACACUCGGAGGUUAAGCAACACGCUUCUAAGUAAUACAUGGGUGAAAGAAGUCUCAAGAGAAAAUUUUAAAUUAUUUUUAACUAAAUGAAAAUGAAAACACAACAUAUAAAAAUUUGUGGGAUAUAGUAUAAGCACUACUUAGAGAAAAAUUAUAGCAUUAAGUGUACAUAUUAGGAAAGAAGAAAGAUCUAAAAUCAAUAAUUUAAGAUUCUCCCUUAGAAAAUUAGAAAAGAAGAGCAAAUUUAAUUCAAAGAGAAGAAAUCCAACAAAAAUCAAUAAAAUUGAAAAUUGAGAAGCAAUAGAGAAAAACGAAGAAAACAAUAGCUGACUUUGUUGAUCUUUAAGAAGAUCAAUAUAUCAAUAACCCCCUAACCAGUCUAAAAAAAAAGAGAGAAGGGAAAAAAAUGACUAAUAGCAGAAAUGAAAGAGGAGUAUUACUGUGGAUUCCAUGGAUAUUAAAUGGAAGGUAAAGGAGUACUAUGAAGAGCUCUAUGCCCUUAGAUUUGAUAAUUCACAUAAAAUUAAUCAAUUCCUCAAAAGACACAAUCAGCAAAACUUACACAAAGAGAAAUAAGUGAUCUGAAUAGGCUUCUAUGUAUUAGAAUACUUAAUUAACAACUUUCCAAAGGAAAAAGCAUCAGGUCCAGAUUGGUUCACUGGUGAAUUAUAAACAACAUUUAAGAAAGAAAUUAUACCAUCUCUUUCAGAAUAUACAAUCUCUUUCAGAAGACAGAAGCAAAGAGAAUACUUUCUAACUCACCUUAUUAGACCAGAGUUACCCUAAUACCAAGACUUGACGAUGACAUUACAAGAAAAUACUGCAGAUCAAAAUCUUUCAGGAACAUAGGUGCAGAAAUUCUCAACAAAAUAUUAUGGAAUCCAACAAUGCAUGAAAAACACUACACCACAACCAAAUGGUAUUUAUCCCAGGUAUGCAAAACUGGUCCAACAUUGAAAAAUGAACUAAUGUAAUCCAUCAUAUCAAGAGGCUAAUACAAAUCACAUACUCAUAGAUGCAGAAAAAGCAUUUGAUAACAUCUGACGCUCAUUCAUGAUGAAAACUCCCAGUAACAUAUAACCUGCAGAAUGAGAGAAAGUAUUUGAAAACUAUGCAUCUGACAAAAGUCUAAUAUCCAGCAUCUAUAUGGAGCUUAAACAAAUUUACAAGGAAAAACAACCCCAUUAAAAAGGGGGUGAAAAAGAUAAACAGAGACUUUUCAAAAGAAGACACAGAUGCAGCAAACAAGCGUAUUUUAAAAAGCUCCAUAUCCACAUGCUUACCUGUGUAACAAACCUGCAGAUCCUGCACAUGUACCCCAUAAUUUAAAAUUUAAAAAAAGCUCCAUAUCAUUGAUGAUUAUAGAAAUGCAAAUCAAAACCACAAUGAGAUACCAUCUCACACCAGUAAGAGUGACUAUUAUUAAAAAGUCAAAAUGUAACAGAUGAUGGUGAGCUUGCCGAAAAAAGGGAAUGCUUAUACACUGAUGGUGGGAGUGUAAAUUAGUUCAACCAUUGUGGAAAGCAGUGUGGUGAUUCCUCAAAUAGCUAAAAAUGGAACUAUCAUUUGACCCAGCAAUCCCAUUACUGAGUAUAUACCCAAACGAAUAUAAAUCAUUCUACCAUAAAGACACAUGCACACAUAUGUUCAUUGCAACACUAUUCACAAUAAUUCCAAAAACAUGGAAUCAACCUAAAUGCCCAUCAAUAGCAGACUGGAUAAAGAAAAUGUGGUAUGUAUACAUGAUGGAAUACUAUGCAGCCAUAAAAAGAAUGAGAUCACAUCUUUUACAGGAACAUGGAUGGAGCUGGAGGUCAUUAUCCAUAGCAAACUAAUGCAGGAACAAAGAAACAAAUAUUGUGUGUUCUCACGUGUAAGUGGAAGUUAAUGAUGAGAACACAUUGACACUAAAAGGAGAACAAUAGACACUGGAGCCUGAGGGUGAAGGUUGGGAGGAGGGAGAGAAUUAGAAAAAAAUAACUAUUGGGUACUAGGCUUAGUGUCUUGGUGAUGAAAUAAUCUGUAAAGCAAACUCCUGUGACACAAAUUUACUUGUAUAACAAACCUGCAUAUAUACUCCUGAACCUAAAAUAAAAUUUAAAAAAAAAACGAGUAAAAUAGGAAUACAGGGAAACUUCUUCAACUUGAUAAAGAAUAUCUACAAAAAAUCCUGCAACUAACAUAAUUCUUUUUGGUAAAAACUACAAGUUUUCCCACUAAGAUCAGGAACAAAGCAAGGAUGUACCUUCUUACCAUUGCUUGUCAACAUCAUACUGGAAGUACAAGCUAAUGCAAUAAGACAAGACAAUAAAGGAAGAGGAUACAUAUUGAAAAGAAAGAAGCAAAACGGUCUUUGUUUGCAGCCGACAUGAUUGCCUAUGCAGAAAAUCUGAAAUAAUUGACAAAAACUUCUGGAACUAAUAAAUGAUUAUAACAAGGUUGUAGGAUACGGGGUUAACAUAUAAAAGUCAAUAGCUUUCUAUGUACCAGAAAUGAACAAAUGGAAUUUGAAAUUAAAAACACAAUACCAUUUACAAAACACUCCUGAAAAUGAAAUGCGUAGAUAUAAAUCUAACAAAUGAGAAAAAUGAGAGAACAUAGAAAAAGGUCUAACUAAAUGGAGAGUUAUUCCAUGUUAACUGAGAGAAAGACUCAAUAUUGUCAAGAUGGCAGUUGUUUCAAACAAUCUAUAG